CAAAAACAUCGCCUCUUGAGACACAACCAUAAGAGGUCCUGCCUGCCCUGUGACCACGUGUUUAACGGCCGCGGUAUUUUGACCGUGCAAAGGUAGCGCAAUCACUUGUCUUUUAAAUGGAGACCCGUAUGAACGGCACGACGAGGGCUUAACUGUCUCCUUUUUCCAGUCAAUGAAAUUGAUCUUCCCGUGCAGAAGCGGGAAUAAUAACAUAAGACGAGAAGACCCUGUGGAGCUUUAGACACUAAGCCAGACCAUGUCAAACACCCCCGCCCAAGGGAUUGAACUUAUUGGGCUCCUGUCCUGAUGUCUUUGGUUGGGGCGACCUCGGGGAAACAAAAAACCCCCGCGUGGAGCAGGAGUACUCCACUCCCAAAACUAAGAGCCACAGCUCGAAUUAACAGAAUUUCUGACCAACAACAGAUCCGGCUUAACGCCGAUCAACGGACCAAGUUACCCCAGGGAUAACAGCGCAAUCCUCUUUUAGAGCCCAUAUCGACAAGGGGGUUUACGACCUCGAUGUUGGAUCAGGACAUCCUAAUGGCGCAGCCGCUAUUAAGGGUUCGUUUGUUCAACGAUUAAAGUCCUACGUGAUCUGA
This 599-nucleotide ribosomal RNA is filed under the name Pycnochromis bami. RNAcentral's name for it is "Chromis bami partial 16S ribosomal RNA". It matches the Rfam family "Bacterial large subunit ribosomal RNA", at positions 1808 to 2608 of the family's 2925-position model. The record is from RNAcentral. Lineage: Eukaryota; Metazoa; Chordata; Actinopteri; Pomacentridae.